RNAcentral lists this ribosomal RNA (440 nucleotides) under uncultured bacterium. Its description in RNAcentral is "partial 16S ribosomal RNA". It matches the Rfam family "Bacterial small subunit ribosomal RNA", at positions 338 to 795 of the family's 1533-position model. The record is from RNAcentral.
CCUACGGGAGGCAGCAGUAGGGAAUAUUGCUCAAUGGGGGAAACCCUGAAGCAGCAACGCCGCGUGGAGGAUGAAGGUUUUCGGCUUGUAAACUCCUUUUGUUAGAGAAGAUAAUGACGGUAUCUAACGAAUAAGCACCGGCUAACGCCGUGCCAGCAGCCGUGGUAAUACGGAGGGUGCAAGCGUUACUCGGAAUCACUGGGCGUAAAGAGCGCGUAGGCGGGAUAGUAAGUCAGAUGUUAAAUCCUAUGGCUUAACCAUAGAACUGCAUUUGAAACUGUUAUUCUAGAGUAUGGGAGAGGUAGGUGGAAUUCUUGGUGUAGGGGUAAAAUCCAUAGAGAUCAAGAAGAAUACUCAUUGCGAAGGCGACCUGCUAGAACAUAACUGACGCUGAGGCGCGAAAGCGUGGGGAGCAAACAGGAUUAGAUACCCUUGUAGUC